This 460-nucleotide ribosomal RNA is filed under the name uncultured bacterium. RNAcentral's name for it is "bacterial SSU rRNA". It matches the Rfam family "Bacterial small subunit ribosomal RNA", at positions 343 to 796 of the family's 1533-position model. The record is from RNAcentral.
GGGAGGCAGCAGUAAGGAAUCUUGCGCAAUGGGCGAAAGCCUGACGCAGCGACGCCGCGUGCGGGAAGAAGGCCUUCGGGUUGUAAACCGCUUUCAGGAGGGACGAAGCCACUCGGGUUAAUAGCCCAGAGGGUGACGGUACCUCCAGAAGAAGCCCCGGCUAACUACGUGCCAGCAGCCGCGGUAAUACGUAGGGGGCCAGCGUUGUCCGGAUUCAUUGGGCGUAAAGCGCGUGUAGGCGGCCAGGUAGGUCUGGUGUGAAAACUGGAGGCUCAACCUCCAGCUGUCAUCGGAAACCAUCUGGCUAGAGUCCGGAAGAGGAGAGUGGAAUUCCUGGUGUAGCGGUGAAAUGCGCAGAUAUCAGGAAGAACACCCAUGGCGAAGGCAGCUCUCUGGGACGGUACUGACGCUGAGACGCGAAAGCGUGGGGAGCGAACAGGAUUAGAUACCCCGGUAGUCU